ACGGAAGGCAGCAGUGAGGAAUAUUGGUCAAUGGGCGGAAGCCUGAACCAGCCAAGUCGCGUGAAGGAUGAAGGUAUUAUGUAUUGUAAACUUCUUUAGGCGCAGAGAAAUAAGCCCCUCGUGAGGGGUGAUGCUAGUAUGCGCAGAAUAAGGAUCGGCUAACUCCGUGCCAGCAGCCGCGGUAAUACGGAGGAUCCGAGCGUUAUCCGGAUUUAUUGGGUUUAAAGGGUGCGCAGGCGGUCAAUUAAGUCAGUGGUCAAAUCGUGAGGCUCAACCUCAUCCCGCCAUUGAUACUGGUAGACUUGAUUGCGGUUGAGGUAGGCGGAAUUCGUCGUGUAGCGGUGAAAUGCAUAGAUAUGACGAAGAACACCGAUUGCGUAGGCAGCUUACCAAGCCGUAAAUGACGCUCAUGCACGAAAGUGCGGGGAUCGAACAGGAUUAGAUACCCUGGUA
This 453-nucleotide ribosomal RNA is filed under the name uncultured Porphyromonadaceae bacterium. RNAcentral describes it as "partial 16S ribosomal RNA". It matches the Rfam family "Bacterial small subunit ribosomal RNA", at positions 341 to 792 of the family's 1533-position model. Lineage: Bacteria; Pseudomonadati; Bacteroidota; Bacteroidia; Bacteroidales; Porphyromonadaceae. The record is from RNAcentral.